UAGUCCACGCCGUAAACGAUGGGUGCUAGCCGUCAGGCCGUCAAGGUUUGGUGGCAACGCUAACGCAUUAAGCACCCCGCCUGGGGAGUACGGUCGCAAGAUUAAAACUCAAAGGAAUUGACGGGGACCCGCACAAGCGGUGGAGCAUGUGGUUUAAUUCGAAGCAACGCGAGGAACCUUACCAGGACUUGACAUGCCGGUCGCGCUUUUCAGAGAUGAAUUGCUUCAGUUUGGCUGGACCGUGCACAGGUGCUGCACGGCUGUCGUCAGCUCGUGUCGUGAGAUGUUGGGUUAAGUCCCGCAACGAGCGCAACCCUCAUCCUUAGUUGCUAACAUUUAGUUGAGAACUCUAAGGAAACUGCCGGAGUUAAUCCGGAGGAAGGUGGGGAUGACGUCAAGUCUUCAUGGCCCUUAUGUCCUGGGGCUACACACGUGCUACAAUGGUGGUGACAAUGGGCAGCGACAUCGUAAGGUGAAGCUAAU
Molecule: ribosomal RNA, 483 nt
Filed under: uncultured bacterium
Lineage: Bacteria
Description: bacterial SSU rRNA
Rfam family: Bacterial small subunit ribosomal RNA
Source: RNAcentral